Long non-coding RNA from Oreochromis aureus, 1479 nucleotides. RefSeq lists it as uncharacterized. Lineage: Eukaryota; Metazoa; Chordata; Actinopteri; Cichliformes; Cichlidae. The record is from RefSeq and is a predicted model, not a curated record. The transcript is spliced from 4 exons.
CCCUGGUGCAGAACUGCUGGUGAACUGUUUUUUUAUUUAGGAAUAGGCAGAGCAUUCUCUCUUCCUUCCUGUCUCUAAUUAUGUUUGGCGGCAUUGAUCAUGUGACUCUUUUGAGACGAACCAAGCCUCGGCACAGAGUUUCUGAAGCAGUGCUGAUUGUUUUGACACAUGCGCCAGUUUCAGCUUCAAACGGACCAUCACUACUUUAAGCUAAACUUUUCUACUUUUUGUUCAUUCUUUCUUGGUGAGCCCGAAAGACCACUUGCUGCAGUAGAGUAGUCGGUCUGUGAACAUGGAGACAGUGAGCAUCUUACUGAUUGUCCUGUUUGUUUCAGGUGCUUUGGCUGAUUAUCAAGACUGGAUAAAACUCUACAUGACUGCCCCAAAGCAGCUGGAAGCAUUGAGUGGAUCUUGUUUGCAAAUCCCAUGUAGCUUCAGACCCAAAGAAGAACAGAAAUUUAACAGAGCAAGAAAAAUCUUUGGAGUAUGGAUUAAAAAUAAUGUUGACUUUGGCAAAUAUCCAAACAAUGUGAUCUUCAACAGUAGUGGAGCAGUUCGCAUCUAUCCAAUGAGUAUUACUGGGAACCUGAGUCAGAGAGACUGCACCACUCUGUUUUCUGAUUUAACCACCACAUACACAGAAACAUACUUCUUCAGAGUAGAGAGAGAAACAUUCAAGGCGACAGCUCAACAAGAUCCUCUUCAAAUAACAGUCAGAGAGAGUGAUGGAGCUAGAGGCAGAUGAGUCAUGAGCAGAUUUUUGUGGAUGAAGCUGGUUUUCACCUCACAAAGACAAGGAGACGUGGCAGGAACAUUAUUGGACACCGUGCCAUAAUCAACGUCCCAGGACAACGCGGUGGUAACAUAACUAUGUGUGCAGCUAUACGUCAAAAUGGUGGUGUUCACCAUCAUGCAACCCUGGGCCCAUAUAACACUGCACAUAUUAUUACAUUCCUGGACACCUUACAUGACAUGCUCACUAGUGUUCAGAGACCAGAGCAGACCAGUCAUCAUAUGGGACAAUGUUAUUUUCCAUAGGGCUGCUUUGGUCCGCAACUGGUUUACAGAUCACCCACUCUUCACUGUACUCAACCUCCCCCCAUACUCUCCAUUCUUGAACCCAAUUGAAGAGUUCUUCUCUGCCUGGCGCUGGAAGGUCUAUGACCGUCAUCCCCAUCAACGCAUAGCCCUUUUACAGGCAAUGGAGGAGGCAUGUGGGGAUAUUGACCAGGCAUCAUGUCAGGCCUGGAUACGCCAUUCCAGAAGAUAUUUUCCCUGGUGCCUUGGACUAGAGGACAUUGCAUGUGAUGUAGACGAAAUUUUGUGGCCGGACCCAGAGAGACGACACGAUGUAGACUGAUUUCUUUUUUUUCCUCAGUGAAAUUACUAUUUUGUUUGGACUUGGAAAUAAACACUUGUGUUUGUUUUGAUGUGUGUAAAUAAACACCAGUACUUGAAGUUUGGAUCAUGUUUCCAUGU